RNAcentral lists this ribosomal RNA (814 nucleotides) under epibiont metagenome. RNAcentral's name for it is "bacterial SSU rRNA". It matches the Rfam family "Bacterial small subunit ribosomal RNA", at positions 703 to 1520 of the family's 1533-position model. The record is from RNAcentral.
CGAAACCCGAAAGCCGAAUCUUUCUGGAACCAGGGACUGGACCCUUGAGAAUGCCGAAAGCCUUGGGACAACAGGAUUAGAUACCCCUGGUAGUCCACGCCCUACCGAUGAAUGUUAGUCCGUUUGGAGUGCCUACCCACUUCAGUGAUGCAGCUAACGCAUUAAACAUUCCGCCUGGGGAGUACGGCCGCAAGGUUAAAACUCAAAGGAAUAGACGGGGACCCGCACAAUGUGGAGCAUGUGGUUUAAUUCGAAGAUACGCGAAGAACCUUACCUGGCCUUGACAUAUACCAGAAUCUGCCAGAGAUGGUGGAGUGCCUUCGGGAGCUGGUAUACAGGUGCUGCACGGCUGUCGUCAGCUCGUGUCGUGAGAUGUUGGGUUAAGUCCCGCAACGAGCGCAACCCUCGUGACUAGUUACUAACAGCAUAGGCUGAGGACUCUAGUCAGACUGCCUUCGUAAGGAGGAGGAAGGUGAGGACGACGUCAAGUCAUCAUGGCCCUUACGGCCAGGGCGACACACGUGCUACAAUGGGAAGGACAAAGAGAAGCAAAACUGUGAGGUGGAGCAAAUCUAUAAACCUUCUCUCAGUUCGGAUUGCAGUCUGCAACUCGACUGCAUGAAGCUGGAAUCACUAGUAAUCGUGAAUCAGCCAUGUCACGGUGAAUACGUUCCCGGGUCUUGUACUCACCGCCCGUCACACCAUGGGAGUUGAUUUCACCCGAAGCGGGGAUGCUAAAUAGGCUACCCGCCACGGUGGAAUUAGCGACUGGGGUGAAGUCGUAACAAGGUAACCGUAGGAGAACCUGCGGAUG